Long non-coding RNA from Oncorhynchus tshawytscha (Chinook salmon), 576 nucleotides. NCBI's taxonomy places the organism in Eukaryota, Metazoa, Chordata, Actinopteri, Salmoniformes, Salmonidae. The record is from Ensembl.
UCUCGGUGUAAUCUGUAUUUAUUAAAUUAUGCAGACGAUAUUAUGUCAAUACCAAAUCACUUCUGGGUAACAGGCCUACGUGGCAUUGAUUUGAGUCAGACAGUUAUUCCAAUGUCAAAAUUGACUACAAAUUGUAAACAGGAUCAUUUUGGUUAUAAAGUAGGUCUCGUCUAAAAUGGAGUUUGGAACAUCUGUGCAUCACAAUAGAAACAUUAAGGUUUGGAACAUCUGUGCAUCACAAUAGGAACAUUAAGGUUUGGAACAUCUGUGCAUCACAAUAGAAACAUUAAGGUUUGGAACAUCUGUGCAUCACAAUAGGAACAUUAAGGUUUGGAACAUCUGUGCAUCACAAUAGGAACAUUAAGGUUUUGAACAUCUGUGCAUCACAAUAGGAACAUUAAGGUUUGGGUUUUGGUUUGACGAUGUCCAUUUACCCACUAACAUGUGGUGAACAGCUGCGGUGAUUUCUCUCUAUCCAAUAGCAUAGACAGUGAGACAGACCUGCCCAGCAGCUCCCAACUUUGUUUACAUAAGAAAACAUGUCACACAUUUGUUUUACCUGAGAAAUACUGUACC